RNAcentral lists this ribosomal RNA (262 nucleotides) under uncultured bacterium. RNAcentral's name for it is "partial 16S ribosomal RNA". It matches the Rfam family "Bacterial small subunit ribosomal RNA", at positions 524 to 784 of the family's 1533-position model. The record is from RNAcentral.
GACGAACCCGUGCAAACGUUGUUCGGAUUCACUGGGCUUAAAGGGCGCGUAGGCGGCCAGACCAGUCUGUGGUGAAAUCUUUCGGCUCAACCGGAAAAUUGCCGUGGAUACUGUCUGGCUCGAGGAAGGUAGGGGCAACUGGAACGGCCAGUGGAGCGGUGAAAUGCGUUGAUAUUGGCAGGAACGCCGGUGGCGAAAGCGAGUUGCUGGACCUUUUCUGACGCUGAGGCGCGAAAGCUAGGGAAGCAAACGGGAUUAGAAA